ACAGAGGUCUCAAGCGUUGUUCGGAUUCAUUGGGCGUAAAGGGUGCGCAGGCGGCGUGGAAAGUUGAGUGUGAAAUCCCGGGGCUCAACCCCGGAACUGCACUCAAUACUCCCAUGCUAGAGGAAUGUAGAGGAGAGUGGAAUUCACGGUGUAGCAGUGAAAUGCGUAGAUAUCGUGAGGAAGACCAGUUGCGAAGGCGACUCUCUGGGCAUUUCCUGACGCUCAUGCACGAAGGCCAGGGGAGCAAACGG
Molecule: ribosomal RNA, 251 nt
Filed under: uncultured prokaryote
Description: partial 16S rRNA
Rfam family: Bacterial small subunit ribosomal RNA
Source: RNAcentral